UGCCAGCAGCCGCGGUAAUACGAAGGGUGCUAGCGUUGUUCGGAAUUACUGGGCUUAAAGGGUUCGUAGGCGGCUAUGAAGGUGGGGUGUGAAAUCCCUCGGCUCAACCGAGGAACUGCGCUCCAAACCACAUGGCUUGAGGGAGACAGAGGUAAGCGGAACUGAUGGUGGAGCGGUGAAAUGCGUUGAUAUCAUCAGGAACACCGGUGGCGAAGGCGGCUUACUGGGUCUCUUCUGACGCUGAGGAACGAAAGCUAGGGGAGCGAACGGGAUUAGAUA
This 279-nucleotide ribosomal RNA is filed under the name uncultured bacterium. Its description in RNAcentral is "partial 16S ribosomal RNA". It matches the Rfam family "Bacterial small subunit ribosomal RNA", at positions 506 to 784 of the family's 1533-position model. The record is from RNAcentral.